GACGAACGCUGGCGGCGUGCUUAACACAUGCAAGUCGUGCGGUAAGGCCCUUUCGGGGGUACACGAGCGGCGAACGGGUGAGUAACACGUGGGUGACCUGCCCUCAGCUCUGGGAUAAGCCCGGGAAACUGGGUCUAAUACCGGAUAUGACUCCAUGACGCAUGUUGUGGGGUGGAAAGCCUUGUGCGGCUGAGGAUGGGCCCGCGGCCUAUCAGCUUGUUGGGUGGGGUGAUGGCCACCAAGGCGACGACGGGUAGCCGGCCUGAGAGGGCGACCGGCCACACUGGGACUGAGAUACGGCCCAGACUCCUACGGGAGGCAGCAGGUGGGGAAUCUUGCGCAAUGGGCGAAAGCCUGACGCAGCGACGCCGCGUGAGGGAUGACGGCCU
This 389-nucleotide ribosomal RNA is filed under the name uncultured bacterium. RNAcentral describes it as "bacterial SSU rRNA". It matches the Rfam family "Bacterial small subunit ribosomal RNA", at positions 28 to 417 of the family's 1533-position model. The record is from RNAcentral.